This is a long non-coding RNA of Stegodyphus dumicola, 428 nucleotides long. The record is from RefSeq and is a predicted model, not a curated record. Lineage: Eukaryota; Metazoa; Arthropoda; Arachnida; Araneae; Eresidae.
UUCUCCUCAUUCGUUUCAGUAUCAUUUCUCUUUUGAGUUUGGCAGCGGCUCUACAUCCUUUACGUUGCUAGUAUUGCUGCACAGGUUUCGGUUCGUGUUUCAGCUUGUCACCUGUUUAGUGUAUGAGAUAAAUUUUUACGGUGUGCUUUGGAAGAGUGGGAUAUAUUUUACUGUUUCAUUAUAGUUACCAGUAAGAUAUUUGAUCACUUAGAGAUACAUCGUAGUUUGGAUUGCAGAACUUCAACUUUAGGGCGACGUGUUGCUAUAAAUGACCAGCACAGGAACUGCACGCACAUUUCCAUGAACCGAGGGUACAGAAGUACCAGACAAGAAGAUUAAAGGCAGCUUAGCAUGAAACAAUAAGUUAGAGUAACCACAAAGGUGCGGAGUAUCAGAAAGAAAAGAGAACACUCUGCUUACAAAGUAGC